CCAGAAAAGAAUAGUGCUGGAAUCUCUUACUGAAACUGCCUCAUUUAAGCCGGUUAACAAUUACCACACAUGAAAUAGCAACUGAACAACACACGUAAGAAGAUGCAGAGAAUGUGGAGUCACCAGCCCUGGUCGUGUUCCAGAACCAUGGAGAUGUGGCACUGAGGGCCAUGGAGCCAAUUCCAAGAAAGCAAGACGGCGAGGUCCUGAGGACAAGAUGAUGGAUGGAGACAUGGAGUUCACAGCACUUCAUUCAGCUCCUCAAGUUCUUUCUUAAGAUAAUGAUAAAGUUAAACGGAUCAAUUUUAGAGCUCUAUAGCAGCAGGCUGUCUGUGGAUUGACAAGACACAAAGUGAAUUACCCACUUAGAUGUCAUCAGGCUGACACAACACAGACUGUAUCAGCACUUGCAAUAUCCAGUUCUAGUAUAUUUUUAAUAAACCAAUUAUUAUCUCGCAGAUUGCAUGCACUGAAUAACGCUAAAAUCAUGGCUUAACUGUUCAAGAUGAUCUUGUUUUUAUUUUUAAUAUCAUCACUUAAUAGCUGGGACAAUAUUCAGGCAUCCCUAACUCCAUGCCAGAGCACCCACUACUGUGAGCUGAUAUUUCUGAGAACAGGAGCAAAUCCUUGGAGGAGGUGAAUUAGUGCAACUCCAUUAAAUGAAUGGAGCUUUAUUCACAUCCAGGAAGUAAGUAGCUCCCUCCCCUGGUUUCUGAAUUAGUCCCACAUGUAAAGCAG
Gallus gallus (chicken) is the source of this 738-nucleotide long non-coding RNA. NCBI's taxonomy places the organism in Eukaryota, Metazoa, Chordata, Aves, Galliformes, Phasianidae. The record is from Ensembl.